Molecule: ribosomal RNA, 527 nt
Filed under: uncultured bacterium
Lineage: Bacteria
Description: bacterial SSU rRNA
Rfam family: Bacterial small subunit ribosomal RNA
Source: RNAcentral
AAUAGAUACCCCGGUAGUCCACGCCGUAAACGAUGAAUGUUAGCCGUCGGGGUGUUUACACUUCGGUGGCGCAGCUAACGCAUUAAACAUUCCGCCUGGGGAGUACGGUCGCAAGAUUAAAACUCAAAGGAAUUGACGGGGGCCCGCGACCAAGCGGCGGAGCAUGUGGUUUUAAUUCGAAGCAACGCGCAGAACCUUACCAGCUCUUGACAUGCCUAUGAAUGUUAGUGGAGACACUUUCAGCCUUUUCGGGGGCGUAGGACACAGGUGCUGCAUGGCUGUCGUCAGCUCGUGUCGUGAGAUGUUGGGUUAAGUCCCGCAACGAGCGCAACCCUCGCCUUUAGUUGCCAUCAUUUAGUUGGGCACUCUAAAGGGACUGCCAGUGAUAAGCUGGAGGAAGGUGGGGAUGACGUCAAGUCCUCAUGGCCCUUACGGGCUGGGCUACACAUGUGCUACAAUGGUGGUGACAGUGGGCAGCGAGACCGCGAGGUCGAGCUAAUCUCCAAAAGCCAUCUCAGUUCGGAUUG